RNAcentral lists this non-coding RNA (115 nucleotides) under [Mannheimia] succiniciproducens MBEL55E. Its description in RNAcentral is "Mannheimia succiniciproducens MBEL55E Aggregatibacter sRNA 54". It matches the Rfam family "Aggregatibacter sRNA 54". From Rfam's summary of the family: Validated by RT-PCR, expression up-regulated during growth. Lineage: Bacteria; Pseudomonadati; Pseudomonadota; Gammaproteobacteria; Pasteurellales; Pasteurellaceae. The record is from Rfam by way of RNAcentral.
GCGUAGUAUGCGCAGCGAUUUAGUAAUAAGAGGACACACACUUUGGACAGCCACAGUCGAUGCCGAUUGGAAUCUUUCAUCUAAAUCUCGCCAUUACUUAUCGGCGAGAUUUUCG